UUGCAUGUCAGAAUUGAUUCUAGUGCUACAGUGACUUCCCCAGCCCCCUUCCCACUCUUUCACCCCUGCUCAUCACAUUCCCUCUGGGUCCUGGAGUGCACGUCGACAGAGGGGCAGCAAUACGCUCCUCGUAUUUUUAUAUAUAUAUAUAUAUUUUUUUUACAUGCAGGACCUAUUCAGAGCCAAAGUGAGCACAGGAAGGGGUAAAAAAGGCCCCUAACUCUUGUCAACAGGUUUCUGGAGUGAUACUAACAGAUUAUGGAGCACGGGAUUGACGGUGGUCCGAACAUCAACGGCAGUUCAAGUCCCACCGCCAACUUGAACUCUUCGAGCCUGAUCAACAUAAUUCCAUCAUGGGCUUCUCUAGAGAUUUCUGUCUCAUGAGGAGCUGAGAGAAAGCAAAUACACACUGCUCACUUGGUUGCAACUGGGAGGAGAGCGAGCGACAGCAGGACACCCCAAACGGCGGCCUCGUGGGGAGCCGGAAGUUGGGAAAAUGAAAGUAGGGAGGGCAGAGAUCACAUUUUAAGAACGUGGUAAAACAGAGCCUCGGAGUCAGCUGCUGAGGAGAGAUCUAAAGGAGGCACUGCCAUCAAGAGAGAAGUGGCUUUCCUCAAGCAAAACCUCUGCGAAGAAGUGAGAGACAGAGAGGCAAGAGAGAAAACUGCGUCGCGCCGCAAACAUUCAGUACAACAACACGACAAAGAACAACAUCUUGGGGUUCCCACCACGGCCAGGAUUGUGGGUCUCACAUUGGCCAUUUCGGCCAUCCCCGCCCUCCCAGAAGAAAUCUGCCGAUACGAAGGACAAACAUAUGCACGGCUGUAAUCCCUCUCUAUCCAUGUCCACUUCUUCUCAAGUGAGCUCCAGCGAUUUUCCGGGCGUCGCUGGUGACCACGCUGGGAACCUGGGAUUUCCCGGCGGAACGGAGGUUCGAAACGUGCGACCGCAAAUACCGGAAAAUGCCCUCUCCUCCGGAGCGCUUUUGUCAGAGGUGAUUUGGGCUUUUGUGAGCUUCCGUGCUGAUGGAGCGAGAAGGCUUUCAGGCAUUAGAGAGCGGGGAGGAGAACAGGAGGAGGGAGUCAUUCACCGGCAGGAGCGUUUCUGAAGCUAAGCGCGCCACCUUCCUCCCCGGUGGCAUUCAAUCGCUGUAAUUUCAGUUUUCCGGCAGGAACUUGGCCAAUUUUGGAACCCCGAGCCGGCGCGGUGUCUGUCCGCUGGAAGCUGUGAUGUUAAAUUCCCGCGUUCCUGCACCAGAUCUCCACAGGGGAGGCGAGAGUGGGAAAUUGACGCAAUUAUCUGGGCAAUUCAGGUUUUAAAUAAACCACUUCUGCAUCA
This 1338-nucleotide long non-coding RNA is filed under the name Ornithorhynchus anatinus (platypus). RNAcentral's name for it is "lncRNA (ENSOANG00000047159.1)". Lineage: Eukaryota; Metazoa; Chordata; Mammalia; Monotremata; Ornithorhynchidae. The record is from RNAcentral.